AGUGAACGCUGGCGGUAGGCCUAACACAUGCAAGUCGAACGGCAGCACAGUAAUUUCUUGCUCUUACGGGUUGCGAGUGGCGUACGUGUGAGGAAUACAUCGGAAUCUACUUUUUCUUGGGGGAUAACGUAGGGUAACUUACGCUAAUACCGCAUACGACCUACGGUUGUAAUCAUUGUUUCUUCUGACCUUUCGCGAUUGUUUGAUCCGAUGUCGUAUUAGCUAGUUGGCGUGGUAAAGGCCCACCAAGGCGACGAUCCGUAGAUGGUCUGAGAGGAUGAUCAGCCAAACUGGAAAGGAGACACGGACAAGACUACUACGGGAGGCAGAAGUGGGGAAUAUUGGACAAUGGGAGAAAGCAGGAUACAGAAAUACCGAGUGGGUGAAGAAGGACUUCGGGUUGUAAAGAAAUUUUGUUGGGAAAGAAAAGAAGAAGGUUAAAACCAAGAUGUUAUGACGGUACCAAAAGAAUAAGCAACGGCUAACUUCGUG
Molecule: ribosomal RNA, 492 nt
Filed under: uncultured bacterium
Lineage: Bacteria
Description: partial 16S ribosomal RNA
Rfam family: Bacterial small subunit ribosomal RNA
Source: RNAcentral